Long non-coding RNA from Phyllopteryx taeniolatus (common seadragon), 210 nucleotides. RefSeq lists it as uncharacterized. The transcript has 3 exons. The record is from RefSeq and is a predicted model, not a curated record. Lineage: Eukaryota; Metazoa; Chordata; Actinopteri; Syngnathiformes; Syngnathidae.
CUUCUUUCAGACCACAUUUUGCAAUUUUAUUCCGGAACUAACAGCAUCCAUCCAUCCACUUUGCGUACCACUUUCCAUCACUAGGGGAAUCAAACCAUAACUGCUCACUUUCCUGAGAUGGAGGGAUCCUACUUCCAGGAUAAUGAGGCUGCAAUGGAUGCAGACAUCCAAGGCUGAUAAAAUGGUACAAACUCGGCACCGUGAUGGCAG